AACGAACGCUGGCGGCGUGGCUAAGACAUGCAAGUCGAACGGUACGUUGUAGCAAUAUGGCGUAUAGUGGCGAACGGGUGAGUAAUGAAUAGGUAACGUGCCCCGGGCACAGGAAUACCGCCGGGAACUUCGGUCCCUUUGCGAAAGUGGCGUUAAUACCUGAUGACAUCACCGGACGGCAUCUUUGGUGAUCAAAGGGUGGGGACCUUCGGGCCUAUUGGCCUGGGAGCGGCCUAUUUCCUAUCAGCUAGUUGGUGAGGUAACGGCUCACCAAGGCAAAGACGGUAGCCGGACUGAGAGGUUGGACGGCCACAUCGGGACUGAGACACUGCCCGGACAUCUACGGAUGGCUGCAGUAACGAAUAUUCCGCAAUGGGCGAAAGCCUGACGGAGCGACGCCGCGUGGAGGAUGAAGGUCUUCGGAUUGUAAACCCCCUUUCGGGAGGGAAGAUGGAACGAGCAAUCGUUCGGACGGUACCUCCAGAAGCAGCCACGG
This 496-nucleotide ribosomal RNA is filed under the name uncultured bacterium. Its description in RNAcentral is "bacterial SSU rRNA". It matches the Rfam family "Bacterial small subunit ribosomal RNA", at positions 29 to 496 of the family's 1533-position model. The record is from RNAcentral.